RNAcentral lists this unclassified non-coding RNA (19 nucleotides) under Chlamydomonas reinhardtii. Its description in RNAcentral is "small RNA Cre_3949". Lineage: Eukaryota; Viridiplantae; Chlorophyta; Chlorophyceae; Chlamydomonadales; Chlamydomonadaceae. The record is from RNAcentral.
UUGCGCUCGAGGCUUCGGC